RNAcentral lists this ribosomal RNA (513 nucleotides) under Aspergillus brasiliensis. Its description in RNAcentral is "eukaryotic LSU rRNA". The stretch from base 148 to 301 matches the Rfam family "5.8S ribosomal RNA". The record is from RNAcentral. Lineage: Eukaryota; Fungi; Ascomycota; Eurotiomycetes; Eurotiales; Aspergillaceae.
CUAUUGUACCCUGUUGCUUCGGCGGGCCCGCCGCUUGUCGGCCGCCGGGGGGGCGCCUCUGCCCCCCGGGCCCGUGCCCGCCGGAGACCCCAACACGAACACUGUCUGAAAGCGUGCAGUCUGAGUUGAUUGAAUGCAAUCAGUUAAAACUUUCAACAAUGGAUCUCUUGGUUCCGGCAUCGAUGAAGAACGCAGCGAAAUGCGAUAACUAAUGUGAAUUGCAGAAUUCAGUGAAUCAUCGAGUCUUUGAACGCACAUUGCGCCCCCUGGUAUUCCGGGGGGCAUGCCUGUCCGAGCGUCAUUGCUGCCCUCAAGCCCGGCUUGUGUGUUGGGUCGCCGUCCCCCUCUCCGGGGGGACGGGCCCGAAAGGCAGCGGCGGCACCGCGUCCGAUCCUCGAGCGUAUGGGGCUUUGUCACAUGCUCUGUAGGAUUGGCCGGCGCCUGCCGACGUUUUCCAACCAUUCUUUCCAGGUUGACCUCGGAUCAGGUAGGGAUACCCGCUGAACUUAAGCA